Molecule: transfer RNA, 89 nt
Filed under: Actinobacteria bacterium HGW-Actinobacteria-5
Lineage: Bacteria; Bacillati; Actinomycetota
Description: tRNA-Leu
Rfam family: tRNA
About the family: Transfer RNA (tRNA) molecules are approximately 80 nucleotides in length. Their secondary structure includes four short double-helical elements and three loops (D, anti-codon, and T loops).
Source: RNAcentral
GUCCGGGUGGCGGAAUAGGUAGACGCGCUAGCUUGAGGUGCUAGUGCCCUUUAUCGGGCGUGGAGGUUCAAGUCCUCUCUCGGACACCG